UGGGGAAUAUUGGACAAUGGGCGAAAGCCUGAUCCAGCCAUGCCGCGUGAGUGACGAAGGCCUUAGGGUUGUAAAACUCUUUCGUCGGGGACGAUAAUGACGGUACCCGAAGAAGAAGCUCCGGCUAACUUCGUGCCAGCAGCCGCGGUAAUACGAAGGGAGCUAGCGUUGUUCGGAAUCACUGGGCGUAAAGCGCACGUAGGCGGAUAGUUAAGUCAGGGGUGAAAUCCUGGGGCUCAACCCCAGAACUGCCUUUGAUACUGGCUGUCUCGAGGUCGAGAGAGGUUGGUGGAAUUCCUAGUGUAGAGGUGAAAUUCGUAGAUAUUAGGAAGAACACCAGUGGCGAAGGCGGCCAACUGGCUCGAUACUGACGCUGAGGUGCGAAAGCGUGGGGAGCAAACAGGAUUAGAUACCCAUGUAGUCCCUGAGCGGGCUGGCAAGGCGCAU
Molecule: ribosomal RNA, 447 nt
Filed under: uncultured bacterium
Lineage: Bacteria
Description: bacterial SSU rRNA
Rfam family: Bacterial small subunit ribosomal RNA
Source: RNAcentral